AGUGAAUAGAUACCCGGGUAGUCCACGCUGUAAACGAUGAGUGCUGGACGUUGGCGGGUUUACCUGCCGGUGUCGCAGCUAAACGCGUUAAGCACUCCGCCUGGGGAGUACGGCCGCAAGGUUAAAACUCAAAGGAAUUGACGGGGGCCCGCACAAGCGGUGGGGCAUGUGGUUUAAUUCGACGCAACGCGCAGAACCUUACCAGCCCUUGACAUGGGCGGACGGGGUCCAGAGAUGGACUCUUUCUCGCAAGAGACCGCUACACAGGUGCUGCAUGGCUGUCGUCAGCUCGUGUCGUGAGAU
RNAcentral lists this ribosomal RNA (303 nucleotides) under uncultured bacterium. RNAcentral describes it as "bacterial SSU rRNA". It matches the Rfam family "Bacterial small subunit ribosomal RNA", at positions 774 to 1073 of the family's 1533-position model. The record is from RNAcentral.